AACUUCCAUAAUUACUCAAUCAGUAUAUGCAACUCUUGUUGUUUCUACAAAAAAAAAACACAAAAGUAUAAAGCAUAGGCGGUCAUUAUAGAAAUUUUAACUUGCAAACAUUUCCUCAGGUAGUUGAUGGUUAAUCAUCAACCUUUGCUAAUUUAAAUAGUAUUAUUUUUCUCUUCAGAAAAUGUUAUUUAGAUACUGAAGCAUCUAGCUCCACCGAAACAUCAUUCUCAUGUUAGGUAGUACUUCAGAAUAUAUGUGCAACUACAAACCAGGGGAUAUGAUGUUCUUCUUAAGUUUAUUAUGGAGUACAGUAGAAAAUUAAAUUUAAUUAUUUUCUCUUUCUCCUUUUUCAGUUACGACAUUCAAACAGGUAUACAAGACCCUUAUGAAGACUGUGUGGCAACAAUGAGGCUGUACAAGCGAAUGAAGUACCAACGUCACAAAAUUGAGGACUUCCCUCAAGUUACUGACCCUCAUCGAAAUAAUUUUGCUUCAUGGAGGCAAAAUGAGCUUGAAAGGAUGAGUCCAGAUGACCUGUUAGCACUUUCAAGGUCCGAUUACUAUUGCUGGUGCUUGGAUUCUCGGGAUAUAUGAAAUGCAUGCACCUGAAACAGACAAAAUGCAUGGGGAUUUAGGCAAGGAGACCUAAGCAAAGUGACAAUGAUCCUUCUUAUUAAGUAUAAAUAAUGGGGAGUAUAGAUAUGUAACACUCCCAAUCAUUUUCCAAUUAGUUUAUGUAUCUGAUGAAAUCAGAAUUUAUGUACUUCAAAUUUUCAGAAGAGAAAUAUAUGAUAUGGCAUCGAUGUUUCAACCAAAAUAUUUAAACGAAAGUCAAGUGAAAAACUUCAGAUCUAUCAUCAUAUCUAACACAUUAUAUUUUCAGGUAAUUAUAGUUUUAAAACUUUUCUGGCACCUAAGCAUAAUAUUCUGAAUCUAGCAAUUGCUGAUCUAUCAUUCUAUCUUUUGUUUCUUUCUUCCCUUCUGAUGUAUUAUAUUUCUCAACUGUAGAAUGUAGUUUCUUUUGCCGUGGUCUACAUCGUCAACAAUUAAAAAGAUCUUAAUUCUCUGUUUUUUUGGACGACGUAUUGGAAAUAAAGGUUCUAGUUUCGCAGGAGUACAUUACAAAUGCCUGGUGCUACGCAGUUAUGAACUCUACAUAUGCAAAAACCUUAGCCUAGACAGGGCCUUUUCUUAUGCAAUACAAAAUGAUUUCUUGUUCAAAGAUUAUGGUCAUAUGUAAACAGGUUUUGGUAAAGCAAGACACAUUAUCAAAAUUACUCUACAAGCCACUGAAGUUUUAUUAAUAGUCAUCUUGUACAAAUUGCAAAAACUGUACUGCAGUACUAAUGUAUAAAGGAUAUCUCUACGUCCAUAGUUUUCAAGGAGAUAAAUCUAAUAUUGUGAAAUGAACUCAUGUAAUCCAAUUUCAAUUAAUUACAAGCAAAAUUUUACAUUGAAGACAAGUAAAAAAUGAGAGCCUCAAAAAAAGGGUUACAGAUUCAUUGAUAGCACAACGGAGAGGAAAUGAAAUGUACUCUGAAUCAUCAUUGAUCUCAGGAGCACUGUACUCUGUUCCAAACUUCAACACACUUCCAGACGAACCAUACUCGGCUAUUAACCCAAGCCUUCCAUCUCCGAAUUCAAAAUAGUGUAAAUACCAGAGUUAAUUAAAGUUUGUUAAACUUGAUUGCGACUCAAAG
Molecule: long non-coding RNA, 1700 nt
Filed under: Daucus carota (carrot)
Lineage: Eukaryota; Viridiplantae; Streptophyta; Magnoliopsida; Apiales; Apiaceae
Description: long non-coding RNA (DCAR_LNC002296)
Source: RNAcentral